Molecule: ribosomal RNA, 451 nt
Filed under: uncultured bacterium
Lineage: Bacteria
Description: bacterial SSU rRNA
Rfam family: Bacterial small subunit ribosomal RNA
Source: RNAcentral
AGCGAACGCUAGCGGCGGGCCUAACACAUGCAAGUCGAGCGCAUACCUUCGGGUAUGAGCGGCGGACGGGUGAGUAACGCGUAGGUCAUCUACCCUUUGGUGGGGGAUAACCCAGGGAAACUUGGGCUAAUACCGCACGAGGUCCACGGAUCAAAGCCUUCGGGCGCCAGAGGAUGAGCCUGCGUCGCAUUACCUAGUUGGCGGGGUAACGGCCCACCAAGGGGACGAUGCGUAGCUGGUCUGAGAGGAUGAUCAGCCACACUGGGACUGAGACACGGCCCAGACUCCUACGGGAGGCAGCAGUGGGGAAUAUUGCGCAAUGGGGGAAACCCUGACGCAGCCACGCCGCGUGGGUGAUGAAGGCCUUCGGGUUGUAAAGCCCUGUCGGGAGGGACGAAUUCUUGACGGUACCUCCAAAGAAAGCACCGGCUAACUCCGUGCCAGCAGCCGC